This 254-nucleotide ribosomal RNA is filed under the name uncultured bacterium. RNAcentral's name for it is "partial 16S ribosomal RNA". It matches the Rfam family "Bacterial small subunit ribosomal RNA", at positions 524 to 776 of the family's 1533-position model. The record is from RNAcentral.
UACGUAGGUGGCAAGCGUUAUCCGGAAUUAUUGGGCGUAAAGCGCGCGCAGGUGGUUCCUUAAGUCCGAUGUGAAAGCCCCCGGCUCAACCGGGGAGGGUCAUUGGAAACUGGGGGAACUUGAGUGUAGAAGAGGAAAGUGGAAUUCCACGUGUAGCGGUGAAAUGCGUAGAGAUGUGGAGGAACACCAGUGGCGAAGGCGACUUUCUGGUCUAUAACUGACACUGAGGCGCGAAAGCGUGGGGAGCAAACAGG